CUCUAUCUAUCUAUCAAUCUCUCUCUCUAUAUAAUAUAGUAUAUAUGUAUAGAAUAUAUAUAUAUAUAUAUAUAUAUAUAUAUAUAUAUAUAUAUAUAUAUAUAAUAAUCUCUUUACAGCUCAUCACUGGACCAUCACAUGAUAGGGAGAAUUGCUAACAAGUAAUUGGGAGCAUCCAACCAGGCGUGACCACAGCCUAAGUGGAUGGAUGAUUGCAUCGGAAAUGUUCCUGCCUCCUAUGUUGCUUCCAGCAUGUCAUUUUUGCAACGUUAGCACUCAUCUGACAUGCCCUGUUGAAAUAUACCAGCAUCCCCCUUCAUCAAUUAUUGCACAGGACAAAUCCCUUAUAAUGUAUUUCAGGGUCAUGUCAUGCCACAAGUUAUACCAAAUAAUAAUUAUAAUAUAUUAGCUUUAUUACUGUGUUGUGUUUACUUGACAUUUACUUCAGAUUUUGUUUUAUACACAUAAUUUUAUUGCAAUACAUUAUGUAUUCGUUACACAACAAAAUAAAAUACUUUGAAGGAAGGACUACAUUCUUUGCCAUAUGUAUUUCAGUUUUAUUUUACUCAACCAUUUUCAGGAUGUAAACUGUAUAUGUGACAAUUUACUUUUGUUUCCACUUUUAUUCCCAGAAGGUGCUCUUGUACUCAAAACAAUUACACUCAAUUCAAACAUCUCAUAUUGCAACUCACCCAGCCAUGAUGCUAUAGCACCAAUUUCAUAUGCAUGUUAAUUCAUCUGAAUGUUAUUUAGUCUGCUUCAGGAGUGUGUCGAAAAGGCUUUUCUCUAUUCUCCCAGGCACUGCACUGACAGAACCUCUUAACACUUUGGUCUCUCCCUCUGUCUCUCUCUCUCUCUCUCUCUCUCUCUCUCUCUCUCACACACACACACACACACACACAAACACACAUACAAAACACACACACAAAUGUCUCCUUUGACAAGGACAGUGCUGUGUGUUUCGCCGACUCUAUUUUAGACAGUCAGUUUACAUGGUUUUUGAAAUGACCAGUGGUCAUCGAAGGCCCUCGGUUGACUUCACACUGUGUGUUUAGUGGCUUUGACCCCUACAUGAGCACGGCUCUCAUCACGUAGGAAUAAAAAGCCAUAAGACACAACAGCAGACUCACAGCAGGGAGGCGAGAGGACCAACAGGGGCCGUGGAAGGGGGAAAGAAGACAGGAAUAAAAGACAAGGCAGGCAAACCAGAGAGGGAAGAAUAGAGUGACUCAAGAGGGAUGGAGAGAAACGGAGAGGAGGAGGACAGGCUCAGUUAAAAGGGCACAGGAAGAGUGUAGCAUGGAAUUGAUAAAGAAAGGGUGGAGCCAUGCAUCAAAAGAGCUGAGAGUACGGCCUCAGAACUUUAGUAUGAGUAUAUAAGGAAGAGUACCAUAAUUCCCAGACUAUUAACUGCGGUUUACACAUUGAUUUGAUCAAUCUCCAGCCCUGUGGUUCAUACUCUGGUGCAGCCUGUACAUGGGUAUGAAUUAUUAAAAAGAAAAACCAGUCAAUCAAAAUAUUUUUUUUAAGGCAAGAGUUAACUCUGGUUCAUUGUGCUUGCGUGUGUCUUCAAACGGUGUGUGAGCUUUUAACAAAAAAUAAAAACAUCAAUGAAGCCUUGUGUUUUAUUCUUCACCGUGGUAAUGCUGCUCCCCUCAUCUUCGCACAUGUUAACUAGAAUGGCAAUUUACAUUGCGCCUGCCAAAUGGUCAACAACAGGAGAUUUUUUCCACCCCCUCUAGCUUUGCAGGCACCUUGUUACCUUCAUCCUUUUUUCUUCUAUCCGUAGUCUAAGUCUUGCCUUAGUGAAUUAGCUAGCUAGCUACCGCCAGAUGCCAACAAUGACAAGCCCUGUAACUGGUGUGCGCUCUCUCUCUCUCUCUCUCUCUCUCUCUCUCUUUCUCUCUCUCAUGCUCACACAGAAUGCACAGGUGCCAAGUAGUGUGAGGUAGAUCUGCUGCUUGAAUGACACUCAGAGGUCCCGAAAUGUACUUGCAUUUUUGACACAACGACAUAAUGUUGAAUAAAAUGUGCUUAAUACCCAUGUACAGUUAAUACAUAGAUUUGUUUUAUAAAACCACACAGUAUAUUGUCAUGUGGUUAAUAUACGUGCAGUUAAUCAUCAGGAAGUUAUGGUAUGUGGUUUUGUGAUGUAAUUGAUGAAUAUAUAUAUAAUAUACCACACAAACAAUCAAGAGUCGGUUUAGGUCUACUAGUGACUGUGUGCUUUCUGAAUUUGUUCAUUCGCCAUGUACCAUGACUGAAUGUUUGAGAGGGUGUCAUCAUGUACUGAGACAUAAAUAAUUGACCACAGCAGUGUGUACUGGCAUCUCAGACAGUGUCGCCCCUUUUAAACAUCAGCUGAUUGUCAUGCUUAUCCAGCCACGGCCAGCUCGACAGCAGCACCACCAGCGAGCCGGUGUCUCGUCAAGCACAAAUCUACCCGUGUGUCUGAGCCGGAUCUUCAGCCACCUCAAACAGACGUGGCACGGGCACAGGAGUGGAGGCUGCCGCUGCUCACCAAGACCACUGGCUCAGCUCAGGGACUUCCUUCACUUCAGUCAGUCAGUCAGUCAGAGCGACAUAUUGAACAGCAUGGGCAGGUAGGGCUUUUCUAUGUGCCUAUUGUGUGCGUGUGUGUGUAUGUGUACGCCACUAUCAUCAGUGUGUGUGUGUGUGUGUGUGAACACAUGCCAGGCAGCGGUGAUAAAUAUGCAUGAGGUGGGGCAGGGCUCUAGUGUGCCCGUAUGGAAAUCAGCGUGCGGCAAGAUGAGCCUUCGCCUAUUUUUUUUUCUGAGGGAUGUGAAAUUCGACACGGGCUGGGAGCAGUAAAUUACCACAGCUCGGCCUUUUUUUCCUCCCCAACACCCCCCCUCUCUUUCUCUAAUUCUCUCUCUUCCCUAUCCUCACCCAUUGUGGCGAUGUAGCCAUGACCAGUUAUCAGAACCCUCUCCACCACCCUUCCCUCCAUACAAACACACACACUCACACACAGCUUUCCCCGACCUUCCCCCACCCAUAAACCCUGCAACACUUCAUCAGCCACAUGAUGCAGGAAAAAAAAAAACAGGCGUGAGAUGCAAUGUGGCCGCGUAGCACAAGCGAGCGAGAGAGAGGCAUCUUGGAUUAUGCGGAACGGUCUAGAAAUUGCCAGGCGUGGACGUGCGGGAGCAGCAGGGCCCGAGGCGCCCGAUGGCAUUGGUCAGUGCGAGGAUGAGCAGCGCAUACCUCCAGGCCUGCGGGCCAUUCAUAAAUUAAUGAGCGGGUCUUCAGCGGCUCGCUGUCUCACUGCGUUUUCCCCCUGUAAAGAGAGCGGAGAGAGUGGAAGGGGAAAAAAAAACAUGGAAAACGUGGAUAGAAUGUGAAGGCAAGCACUGGUGUCCAGCUGCACAUUGUUCAGAAUUUGGUUCCAAUUUAUAUUAGAUGUCUUGGGGACAGUGGAACUGAUUAAUUACAAUUCAUUGAUCGCAAACCUACACCAACCCCAAAAUACAUCUAGCAAUAACACGUGGUUAUGCAAGAAAUACACUGUAACUGUUAAUGUACAGUUGGCCCUUUAUUUAUGCUACGAACAUCUUUGCUUCUGUUUACACUUGUAAUCUACAGUGGACAUCUGUGUGGAUUUAUCUGCAAAAGUACAUUCAUUCUGAAUAAGAUAACAAAAGCUAAUGUAGAACCUGGGCUACAAUGAAUAAUAUGGAGGAAAUGAUGCAAGAAAUGCAGCAACAACACAUUAGAUAGUCUUAGGACACAGUGAAGAUUUACCUCGGCUCAUUGUGUGUGUGCGGGGCAUAUAGAUUUAGUAAACAAUGCAGAGAAACGCUGAAAGCUUGAGAGUUGAAAUACAAAACAUCUCUUUGAGUCACUCGUUGAUUCCGAGAUGCCACUCACUUUUGUGUUUCGAUUCUAAGCAGGUAAUUUGUUGAAAACAGCACAGACAAACAAAACUCAAACAUGUAAUACGGUGUCCCUACCGCUGAGGCCUUCCAGAACAAACAAAAGGCUUAGAUUUGCAGAUGCUUUAGUGGUUCUUGACUCAAUUUCCAGGCUUACACGGCUUGAUUUAUCGAUAGAGAGCACAAUGUUUUUGAUCCAAGCAAAUCUCACUGUUUGCUAUCUGACACCAUGCAGACUAGGUACACUUUAAUCUGUGGUAAAUUCAAAGGAUCAAAAGUGUUGUCUGUUUAACUCUCCAAACUAGAAGAGGGUUCGGUGAAGCAUGCGUUUGGUGUGUAAAUCAUGGGGCAUGCUUCUGAAUCUUUGUGAUGCUGAAUCAGAAACCCCCUCUUAAACCUUUGGAUUCAUGUCACCCGUAAAGGAAAUGUGUUUUACGAAAUAAUGUUUUACGUACAGUAUAUGUACUCUUUAAAUUCCUGUAAUCCGAUUCAAAUACUGCAUGUUUUAGAACUGGUUAUUAUGGUCUUGAACCACACCAUUUGUAGUAUUUGGGAAUACCUUUAUAUGUGCACUGCACCACAAGGCGUUAUACACUACAAUACAGCUUAUUGCCUAGGUGCUCAGUGGUUCUCUGUGUUAGUUCAAGUAAAUAUUAUGUUUUAGUCGGAUCAUUAUCGCCUGAAAAUUACAGUUUGCUCUGCUGGCCUUUUCUCUCAGAAAGCCAAUAUAUUUCCUUCUUAGGGUGAAAAAAUAAUUGCAUAGAGAUGGAUGAGUUCAUAUUCUCUAAAUGAGCAAUAAGACAUUAUUUAUAGACUUGAGCGCAAAUACGUACAAGAGUUGGAUGGUGUUAUUCUCCAGAUACUGGCACAACAGAAACCAGAUCCUACUGAAUCUGAACCGUUUGGGUCAGGAAUUCUGGAGUAUCUGAAAACCGUUGAUUAUGCGCCUGUAGAGGUCCCCUGCUGUCCCAGGUACUUGCUUUUCGCUCUAUCUUUCCACCUAAAUAUUUCACAACCAGCCCAGACUAUGCUGGCGAUAUCAAAUGCCUUGUGCUACCCACAAAUAUUCCUCAUUUAGAGCUACCCUUUCCAUUUGGACUGCUGGGUAAAGUAAUCUCUUCUGUCCUGUCCUUAAAGCUACCCCCUGUGCUUUUAUGCAUGUGAUUAGGUUUGAAUGAGAGUAAUAAAACCCCCAUUAAGUUGGGGUGAAAUGAGUCAUUACUGCAUUCGCUGGCUGUUUGGCUGACUCACAUGUCCUUUCAUCCACCCAGGGUUUUGCAAGACUGAUGUCCCCCCUGCUCAUAUUUGCUGUACUUUUUUAGGGGUGGCGCUAAUGACUGGCAUUUUGAUUUCCACAAGAGUCUAUCCAUCCUGUUUCUAUAACCCAUUGACUGCUAUGUGAAAAGGUUCUAUGAGUGUGCAAAUGAUAGUGCCUUUGGCUUAGGAUGAGGCUAUGAUGACAGGUUGAAUGAGUGCACAGGAGCAGUAAAGAGCUAAUGAAUUGUGGAUUGAAAAAGUAGAAACGUACAGCAUCAUCAUCCCACAGUGGUACUCAGAAACGGGGAAGAGGUUUGUAUGCAUCAGCUGGUAAAGCCCUACUUGCAAAAUUUCUGAUUGAGUCUAACAAGUAAUUUUCUUUCAUCAAUUAGCGGCGUGUAUUUUGUAGAUGCAGCAUUGGUCCUGAAUUAAAGCUUACUUGAAGCACUUGGGUACAUUCCUUUGAGGAUGUGCCCUACACAUUAAAUAAGCAGUGAGAGUAAUUUGAUGACUUGUUCGAGCAGUUAACAUGUCUUCAUGUGCAAAAAUCAUUUUCAGUUUAAAAUGAAAACCAUUUCAAAGUCCAAUCAUCUUUUCGGUAAAGAGAAUUUUAAAAUAACCUUACUAAUUAAAGUGCGUGAUUAAAGCAAAUGAAAUGUUCAUAAUUAUAAUCUAUAUUGACAUGCAACUGAUUAAUUUGUUGAUUGCAAUUGCAAGCAUUAAUUAUGCUUGGUGUCUACCCUGUAAGCAUGCGUUGAGAUUCUGUCAGAUUUUUGUAUAUUUAUUCAUGAAGGCAUAUCUUUAUAAUUUAUGUAAAGAGGUGGUCUCUUAUAAACAAUAAGAAUUCUCAAUGGACAAUGAAAAUGAUAAGUAAAUGCUGUUUGUAUUACAGAUAUGAUGUGUGUCAGAUAUAAGCUUUAGAAAGACUUAAUAAAUGAUUAAUAAAUGAUUUAUUAAACACUUAGCUUAGGAAUGUUACAAAACUGUUACAUAGACAAGCACUCUUAACACAGCAUGAGUAAAUGACAACACAUACAUGAUGAGUUGUGAAUGGGAAGCAUGAUAUCAUAUUAUAUUAUCAAGUUGGAAAGCACAUAAUGUUUGCUAAAUGUUGCAACAUGACGAAUAACACACAGACACGAGACACCACAUACCCUGGUUUAUAAACAUUGCAUUUAUAAACAGACUCAUGAUGUGUGAGAUUUUUCAAAUGUUACAGGCUCACUAUUACAUACAUAUGAAUGCAUUGUGUAGAGACAGAAAAUGGCUAUUACAGUGAUAUGAUUGCAGACAUUACUGAUACGUGCUGAAGAAGAUUUGAUAGGAUAGCAAACUCCCAUACAUUAUAUAUAUAUAUAUAUAUGUGUGUGUGGGAGUGUGCAUGAGGUGAGGAUGGCAGAAUGGGAGUAGGGGAUUGGGGGGGGGGCGCUUGAUGCAUAAUCCGGUGUGUAGGUGUCUAGUUUCCAUUGUGUGCGCACAGUAUUUGUUAUGGUGGCUUACUGAGGUUAUCAUGGAAUGUUCCAGUCAUUGAGUAGCGAAAUUCCGAGGCUUAUCACAACAGUCACUGAAUGGAGGCACAACUCCUCCACCCACACUGCGUUUAGAUUUCUCACAGUCAGAGGGCUCGGCACAUGACAACUAAACCCCUGUGCAGGGGAGUGCUAUUGUUGCCGAGGUGAUAAUAAUCUGAUCAUCAUCAUUAGGUGGCUUCUUUCCACUCGGCUAAUCCGGCCCUGCCCAGACCUACGCUACGAUGUGAGCGCUCUCUCGCUCUCUCUCUAUCUCUCUCAGGUAGAUCGGCCCGACACGCAUGGUUUCCCCGCGCCACAAUCAGAGAAUACCAAGGACAAUUUGUUUCAUUAGGAGAGGCCCCAUGUUUCCAUGGCGACACUGAUUAAAGAGGCUGUCACCAAAAUUAGGGGUCUAAUGGAGUUCUCCUCGCUGAUAAUGCCAGUGAUGAACCCGGGUCAUAAACAUCAGGAUCAAGACCCCCGUGGAAGGAAUCAUCAAGAGAGGUCGCCUGCUGUGCCCUGAGGAUGCUAAGAUAGUCAUGGAGGGACGCAAGGCAGAGUCUUGGCAAGCCUCGGCGGGCUUAAGUGUGUGCGCGGUGACUGAACUGUGAGGGCCUCAUACAUAAAUAACCGGAGAGAGAAAUGCAAAAUUCACGUCCUCUCUCUUCGGUUUAUCAGCAUCCCAAUCCCUAACAGAUGCCAGGAAUGUAGUAUUCUAUAAUGUAUGAAGAAUUCAUUUCAGGAGAAGGGGGCAGCUGAUAAAAGACAAUUCACUGUCACUGUGGAAAUUCAAAUCUAUCUGUUGAGGAUGAAAGCACAUGUUCCCCAGACUUUUUGCCUGAUUGAUUUCAACCGAGUGCAUUGACUGCUGCGAGGGUAAUCUUGAGGAAGAAAGGGAAGGCACUGUUAGCAGUUAUCGAAAUGCGCAGAUGCGCUCUGCCUCCUCCCCAAUGCCACAUCCAUCAGACGUGCACUUUGGGAGGAUGCUGGGCUGGACCAUCUGGCAUCGCUUAAAAAUAAACGAUGGGUCUAAAUCAAGAGGGACACCUCCAUCCGUCUGUCUGCUCCUCGUGCCAGCCUGAUCUGCCAUCUGAACCUCUGAGGAUUGCCGAGACCCUGCCUGUCAAAAACAACGACUUGGAGCAGGAGCAAGAUUCAGCCCCCGACCCCCACCCCCUAUCAUGUCUCAACAGCAGUACAUUCCCAUUUCUAUUCAGCUCAGCCAUACACAGCUGUAGCUACUGUAUAGCUAUCCCGAUCAUUUAUUUAAGGUAUUCAAGGUAGUCACACCCUUGUGGAAAAGAUAGAUCACAAACUGAGGCGCGCACAGAGUCAAAGCGGACAGGUGUGGGGCGACAGCUGCCGAUAAACAACAAGUCAGACGUGUCUCGAUGCCACCGCUCCGCACCGCUUCGCUUUUUCCAUUUGCAGCGGGGUUUCGGGAAAGGGAUUAUACACAACGUCUGUGGCAAAACGAUUAAACAAAACCCAGAAAAAAAACUUUCCAGGCCACCACUGGCAGACGAAGCACAUGCCAAUAAAUCACUAAGCCACCCAGGCAGGCUAUGACUAUAAUGACAGGCCCCGAAAAAGGGAGGGCGGCUGUAUUAAUUUCAUUGAUUCUGAAAUGAGGCGCGGCGAUAAGGCUAUCUCUGCCUUAUCUUCGGCUGACGGGGGGUGGGCAUAAUUAAAUGGACGGCGACGGCUUGGCAGCCAGAUGACGAGCGACUGGUCCAGGCAGGCAGGCAGGCAGGCAGAGGAAUAUGAGGGCUGAAUCAUCCUCAGCCUGGUAGGAGCACAUGGUUGAUUAGAUUGGCGCCUAAUUGCUAUCGCUGCUAUAUUUAGGCUCCAGCCUAAUCAAAACCCCCUAAGACUCCUCGCCUCCCACCCCGAAACAUUCCACCCACCCCCCACCCCAC
Molecule: long non-coding RNA, 8583 nt
Organism: Clupea harengus (Atlantic herring)
Lineage: Eukaryota; Metazoa; Chordata; Actinopteri; Clupeiformes; Clupeidae
Source: Ensembl